This 288-nucleotide ribosomal RNA is filed under the name uncultured bacterium. RNAcentral describes it as "partial 16S ribosomal RNA". It matches the Rfam family "Bacterial small subunit ribosomal RNA", at positions 334 to 639 of the family's 1533-position model. The record is from RNAcentral.
UAUGCCUACGGGGGGCAGCAGUGGGGAAUAUUGCACAAUGGGGGAAACCCUGAUGCAGCAACGCCGCGUGAGCGAUGACGGCCGUCGGGUUGUAAAGGUCUGUCUUCAGGGACGAUAAUGACGGUACCUGAGGAGGAAGCCACGGCUAACUACGUGCCAGCAGCCGCGGUAAUACGUAGGUGGCGAGCGUUGUCCGGAUUUACUGGGCGUAAAGGGAGCGUAGGCGGGCUUUUAAGUGAGAUGUGAAAUACUCGGGCUCAACUUGAGUGCUGCAUUUCAAACUGGAAG